This 255-nucleotide ribosomal RNA is filed under the name uncultured bacterium. RNAcentral describes it as "partial 16S ribosomal RNA". It matches the Rfam family "Bacterial small subunit ribosomal RNA", at positions 524 to 776 of the family's 1533-position model. The record is from RNAcentral.
UACGGGGGGAGCAAGCGUUGUUCGGAUUUACUGGGCGUAAAGGGCGCGUAGGCGGCCACCGCAAGUCGGUUGUGAAAUCUCCGGGCUUAACCCGGAAAGGUCAAUCGAUACUGCGGGGCUAGAGUGCAGAAGGGGCAACUGGAAUUCUCGGUGUAGCGGUGAAAUGCGUAGAUAUCGAGAGGAACACCUGCGGCGAAGGCGGGUUGCUGGGCUGACACUGACGCUGAGUGCGCGAAAGCCAGGGGAGCAAACGGG